This 449-nucleotide ribosomal RNA is filed under the name Klebsiella variicola. RNAcentral's name for it is "bacterial SSU rRNA". It matches the Rfam family "Bacterial small subunit ribosomal RNA", at positions 1 to 448 of the family's 1533-position model. Lineage: Bacteria; Pseudomonadati; Pseudomonadota; Gammaproteobacteria; Enterobacterales; Enterobacteriaceae. The record is from RNAcentral.
AAAUUGAAGAGUUUGAUCAUGGCUCAGAUUGAACGCUGGCGGCAGGCCUAACACAUGCAAGUCGAGCGGUAGCACAGAGAGCUUGCUCUCGGGUGACGAGCGGCGGACGGGUGAGUAAUGUCUGGGAAACUGCCUGAUGGAGGGGGAUAACUACUGGAAACGGUAGCUAAUACCGCAUAACGUCGCAAGACCAAAGUGGGGGACCUUCGGGCCUCAUGCCAUCAGAUGUGCCCAGAUGGGAUUAGCUGGUAGGUGGGGUAACGGCUCACCUAGGCGACGAUCCCUAGCUGGUCUGAGAGGAUGACCAGCCACACUGGAACUGAGACACGGUCCAGACUCCUACGGGAGGCAGCAGUGGGGAAUAUUGCACAAUGGGCGCAAGCCUGAUGCAGCCAUGCCGCGUGUGUGAAGAAGGCCUUCGGGUUGUAAAGCACUUUCAGCGGGGAGGA